GAUCAAGCGUCUAAAGGGCAUCUGGUGGAUGCCUUGGCACUGAGAGGCGAUGAAGGACGCAGCACGUUGCGAUAAGCCAUGGGGAGCCGCGAGCAGGCUUUGAUCCGUGGAUUUCCGAAUGGGGCAACCCACCGCUUCGGCGGUAUCCUCACCUGAAUCCAUAGGGUGGGGAGGCGAACCCGGCGAACUGAAACAUCUAAGUAGCCGGAGGAAAGGACAUCAACCGAGACUCCGCUAGUAGUGGCGAGCGAACGCGGACCAGGCCAGUCAUUCAGUCUACAUAACCGGAACCGUCUGGAAAGGCGGGCCAGAGCGGGUGAUAGCCCCGUACGGGUAAACCGGACUGAAUGCUCGAGUAGGGCGGGGCACGUGAAACCCUGUCCGAACAUGGGGGGACCACCCUCCAAGCCUAAGUACUCCUCAGUGACCGAUAGUGCACCAGUACCGUGAGGGAAAGGUGAAAAGCACCCCGACGAGGGGAGUGAAACAGUUCCUGAAACCGGAUGCCUACAAGCAGUCGGAGCGGCCUUGCGCCGUGACGGCGUACCUUUUGUAUAAUGGGUCAGCGACUUACAGUAAGCAGCGAGCUUAAGGCGAUAGCCGGAGGCGCAGCGAAAGCGAGUCUGAACAGGGCGCUUGAGUUGCUUGCUGUAGACCCGAAACCCGGUGAUCUAGCCAUGGGCAGGUUGAAGGUGCGGUAACACGCACUGGAGGACCGAACUCACGCCUGUUGAAAAAGUCGGAGAUGACCUGUGGCUAGGGGUGAAAGGCCAAUCAAACCGGGAAAUAGCUGGUUCUCCGCGAAAGCUAUUUAGGUAGCGCGUCGGGCGAUUGCCCACGGGGGUAGAGCACUGGAUGGGCUAGGGGGCCUCGCGGCUUACCAAACCUAACCAAACUCCGAAUACCGUGGAGCACAGCCCGGCAGACAGACGGUGGGUGCUAAGGUCCAUCGUCGAGAGGGAAACAGCCCAGACCGCCAGCUAAGGUCCCCAAA
This 994-nucleotide ribosomal RNA is filed under the name Klebsiella pneumoniae. RNAcentral describes it as "partial 23S ribosomal RNA". It matches the Rfam family "Bacterial large subunit ribosomal RNA", at positions 1 to 1052 of the family's 2925-position model. The record is from RNAcentral. Lineage: Bacteria; Pseudomonadati; Pseudomonadota; Gammaproteobacteria; Enterobacterales; Enterobacteriaceae.